RNAcentral lists this ribosomal RNA (393 nucleotides) under uncultured bacterium. RNAcentral describes it as "partial 16S ribosomal RNA". It matches the Rfam family "Bacterial small subunit ribosomal RNA", at positions 523 to 918 of the family's 1533-position model. The record is from RNAcentral.
AUACGGAGGACGCGAGCGUUAUCCGGAUUCAUUGGGUUUAAAGGGUGCGCAGGCGGCCGUGCAAGUCAGCGGUGAAAGCCCGGGGCUCAACCCCGGAAGUGCCGUUGAUACUGCAUGGCUGGAAUGCGGUCGAGGCGGGCGGAACGGGGCGUGUAGCGGGGAAAUGCGUAGAUAUGGCACGGCACGCCGAUAGCGGAGGCCGCUCGCCGGGCCGGCAUGGACGCUCGGGCACGAAAGCGUGGGGAUCGAACAGGAUUAGAUACCCUGGUAGUCCACGCCGUAAACGAUGGGCGCUCGUCGUCGGCGGCAGACAGUCGGCGGCCAAGCGAAAGCGAUAAGCGCCCCACCUGGGGAGUACGGUCGCAAGGCUGAAACUCAAAGGAAUUGGCGGGG